RNAcentral lists this long non-coding RNA (653 nucleotides) under Triticum aestivum (bread wheat). Its description in RNAcentral is "long non-coding RNA (TAES_LNC010567)". The record is from RNAcentral. Lineage: Eukaryota; Viridiplantae; Streptophyta; Magnoliopsida; Poales; Poaceae.
UCUGCAGAGACCUAUGUGCUGCUGGUGCUCGCUACCCGCGUGAAUAUAGGAAUGAAGAAGGUCACUAUUAGGAAGGGGAGAAUAUCACAUGAUGUGCAGAAAGAAGGUCGGAGUCCAGAAUGAUGUAUGUGAUCUUUGUGCUGUUUUUGGGGGUGCAUUUCCACAUGGGGAUGUGAUCUCACUUCAUCUUCCUCUGCGUGUGGUGGACGCCAUGGCGAGCUCGCCGGAUCCCUGCACAAAAAUGUUGCAGUUCAAAAGAAAUUAGGAUACAAGUUCAAGGGCCAUGGUGAGUUAGAAUUUUGUGUUAGGUUUCUGUUCAUUUUCAACCUAGCGUGCCUUCUUGCCACAUCUAAUAGAAGAUUCCAAUUUUCUGAACAUGUAGCAUUUGUUUCUUGGGAGGUUGUCAGGUUUCAUGAACAUGAAUCUUCUGUCGCAUGUGUUUAGCAGUUACCUGGGGUUACUCAGCUCCUUCUGUCGGUUCACAAAAACACAUAUCUUGCUUUCAUCCAACUUGGCAAGAAGUUGUUGCUUUUGUAAGGUUGCCUAGGAAAAGCUAUUUGUCUCUGAAUGCUAGCAGCAGCAGGCUGCACCACCCGACGAUGGAGUCGAACAAGCAGAAGUAGAUCGUGAACGAACCCGUGGAGGUGGAGAGG